GCCAGUGAGAGCUAAGUGCAUUUUGAAAAUAUUUGUUCUCAUAACUUUUUCCCUGUUACAGAAGUCAGAGAGCUUACUUUGGCUAAAUCAUCUCAUUAAAGAGAGAACUUUAGAUUAGACGUAGGUUAAGUCCAGUUGUCAAAGGAGGCCCCAGUUGAAAGGAAAGCACCACGAUGGUUUGUAACAUCAAGAAAGCCGGUCUCUAGUGUGUCGUAAGCAGCUGUGUGAAGACAGAAGUGACGCAUUGGAGGCUGAAUCCUUACCUUUUCCUUCACAUUAGCUCAGGAACUGUU
RNAcentral lists this long non-coding RNA (293 nucleotides) under Bos taurus (domestic cattle). RNAcentral describes it as "long non-coding RNA NONBTAT001434". The record is from RNAcentral. Lineage: Eukaryota; Metazoa; Chordata; Mammalia; Artiodactyla; Bovidae.